GUGAGGAAUAUUGGUCAAUGGGCGGGAGCCUGAACCAGCCAAGUCGCGUGAAGGAAGAAGGAUCUAUGGUUCGUAAACUUCUUUUGCAGGGGAAUAAAGUGCGGGACGUGUCCUGUUUUGUAUGUACCCUGAGAAUAAGGAUCGGCUAACUCCGUGCCAGCAGCCGCGGUAAUACGGAGGAUCCGAGCGUUAUCCGGAUUUAUUGGGUUUAAAGGGUGCGUAGGUGGUUUGAUAAGUCAGCGGUGAAAGUUUGCAGCUUAACUGUAAAAAUGCCGUUGAAACUGUCGGACUUGAGUGUAAAUGAGGUAGGCGGAAUGCGUGGUGUAGCGGUGAAAUGCAUAGAUAUCACGCAGAACUCCGAUUGCGAAGGCAGCUUACUAAGCUACAACUGACACUGAAGCACGAAAGCGUGGGGAUCAAACAGGAUUAGAAACUCGUGUAGUCC
This 445-nucleotide ribosomal RNA is filed under the name uncultured bacterium. RNAcentral's name for it is "partial 16S ribosomal RNA". It matches the Rfam family "Bacterial small subunit ribosomal RNA", at positions 354 to 796 of the family's 1533-position model. The record is from RNAcentral.